This 69-nucleotide transfer RNA is filed under the name Rattus norvegicus (Norway rat). It matches the Rfam family "tRNA". Rfam says of the family: Transfer RNA (tRNA) molecules are approximately 80 nucleotides in length. Their secondary structure includes four short double-helical elements and three loops (D, anti-codon, and T loops). Further hydrogen bonds mediate the characteristic L-shaped molecular structure. tRNAs have two regions of fundamental functional importance: the anti-codon, which is responsible for specific mRNA codon recognition, and the 3' end, to which the tRNAs corresponding amino acid is attached (by aminoacyl-tRNA synthetases). tRNAs cope with the degeneracy of the genetic code in two manners: having more than one tRNA (with a specific anti-codon) for a particular amino acid; and 'wobble' base-pairing, i.e. permitting non-standard base-pairing at the 3rd anti-codon position. Lineage: Eukaryota; Metazoa; Chordata; Mammalia; Rodentia; Muridae. The record is from Rfam by way of RNAcentral.
GGGGAUUUAGCUCAGUGGUAGAGCGCUUGCCUAGGAAGCUCAAGGCCCUGGGUUCAAUCCCCAGCUCCG